Molecule: ribosomal RNA, 553 nt
Filed under: Lactiplantibacillus plantarum
Lineage: Bacteria; Bacillati; Bacillota; Bacilli; Lactobacillales; Lactobacillaceae
Description: bacterial SSU rRNA
Rfam family: Bacterial small subunit ribosomal RNA
Source: RNAcentral
GGACGAAGUCUGAUGGAGCACGCCGCGUGAGUGAAGAAGGGUUUCGGCUCGUAAAACUCUGUUGUUAAAGAAGAACAUAUCUGAGAGUAACUGUUCAGGUAUUGACGGUAUUUAACCAGAAAGCCACGGCUAACUACGUGCCAGCAGCCGCGGUAAUACGUAGGUGGCAAGCGUUGUCCGGAUUUAUUGGGCGUAAAGCGAGCGCAGGCGGUUUUUUAAGUCUGAUGUGAAAGCCUUCGGCUCAACCGAAGAAGUGCAUCGGAAACUGGAAAACUUGAGUGCAGAAGAGGACAGUGGAACUCCAUGUGUAGCGGUGAAAUGCGUAGAUAUAUGGAAGAACACCAGUGGCGAAGGCGGCUGUCUGGUCUGUAACUGACGCUGAGGCUCGAAAGUAUGGGUAGCAAACAGGAUUAGAUACCCUGGUAGUCCAUACCGUAAACGAUGAAUGCUAAGUGUUGGAGGGUUUCCGCCCUUCAGUGCUGCAGCUAACGCAUUAAGCAUUCCGCCUGGGGAGUACGGCCGCAAGGCUGAAACUCAAGAAAUUUUGACGGGG